Molecule: ribosomal RNA, 492 nt
Filed under: uncultured bacterium
Lineage: Bacteria
Description: partial 16S ribosomal RNA
Rfam family: Bacterial small subunit ribosomal RNA
Source: RNAcentral
AGUGAACGCUGGCGGCAGGCCUAACACAUGCAAGUCGAACGGCAGCACAGUAAGAGCUUGCUCUUACGGGUGGCGAGUGGCGGACGGGUGAGGAAUACAUCGGAAUCUACUUUUUCGUGGGGGAUAACGUAGGGAAACUUACGCUACUACCGCAUACGACCUACGGGUGAAAGCAGGGGAUCUUUGGAGCUUGCGCGAUUGCAUGAGCCGAUGUCGGAUUAGCUAGUUGGCGGGGUAAAGGCCGACCAAGGCGACGAUCCGUAGCUGGUCUGAGAGGAUGAUCAGCCACACUGGAACUGAGACACGGUCCAGACUCCUACGGGAGGCAGCAGUGGGGAAUAUUGGACAAUGGGCGCAAGCCUGAUCCAGCCAUACCGCGUGGGUGAAGAAGGCCUUCGGGUUGUAAAGCCCUUUUGUUGGGAAAGAAAAGCAGCAGGUUAAUACCCCGCUGUUCUGACGGUACCCGAAGAAUAAGCACCGGCUAACUUCGUG